Molecule: ribosomal RNA, 592 nt
Filed under: Oceanobacillus iheyensis
Lineage: Bacteria; Bacillati; Bacillota; Bacilli; Caryophanales; Bacillaceae
Description: bacterial SSU rRNA
Rfam family: Bacterial small subunit ribosomal RNA
Source: RNAcentral
CUGGCCAGCMAGCGCGUAUCGUAGUGGCAAGCGUGUCGGAAUUGGGCGUAAGCGCUCGCAGGCGGUUCUUUAAGUCUGAUGUGAAAUCUUACGGCUCAACCGUAAACGUGCAUUGGAAACUGGGGAACUUGAGUGCAGAAGAGGAGAGUGGAAUUCCACGUGUAGCGGUGAAAUGCGUAGAGAUGUGGAGGAACACCAGUGGCGAAGGCGACUCUCUGGUCUGUAACUGACGCUGAGGAGCGAAAGCGUGGGGAGCGAACAGGAUUAGAUACCCUGGUAGUCCACGCCGUAAACGAUGAGUGCUAGGUGUUAGGGGGUUUCCGCCCCUUAGUGCUGAAGUUAACGCAUUAAGCACUCCGCCUGGGGAGUACGGCCGCAAGGCUGAAACUCAAAAGAAUUGACGGGGGCCCGCACAAGCGGUGGAGCAUGUGGUUUAAUUCGAAGCAACGCGAAGAACCUUACCAGGUCUUGACAUCCUCUGAACACUCUAGAGAUAGAGUUUUCCCUUCGGGGACAGAGUGACAGGUGGUGCAUGGUGUCGUCAGCUCGUGUCGUGAGAUGUUGGGUUAAGUCCCGCAACGAGCGCAACCCU